Long non-coding RNA from Labrus mixtus (cuckoo wrasse), 759 nucleotides. RefSeq lists it as uncharacterized. Lineage: Eukaryota; Metazoa; Chordata; Actinopteri; Labriformes; Labridae. The record is from RefSeq and is a predicted model, not a curated record. The transcript has 2 exons.
UGUGAUAUUUUAGAGUUUGUUCUGUUGCUGAAGAGAUUCUCUUCUUAUGGAAAUGUAUCAGUCACAGUUUCUCUUUUGAACCUGUAGAGGGAGGUCUAUGCAAACUCGUCCUCUCUUAUAAACACACCGUCAGUAACUUGUGGCAGAUCAAUCAGACAGUUCUGAACACUUUUGAAAAUCUGAGAUCAGACAGCACUGAACAGAGGAAUGGGUAAAAGUAGUAUCUGGAGUUUAUUACUUGUAGUUACUAUUCAUGGAGUUUGGAGUGAGAUCAGACUGGAGCAGUCUCCCUCUGAGGUGAAAAGACCUGGAGAGACAGUGAAGAUGUCAUGUAUCAUAUCUGGGUUUGACAUGACGAGCUACUAUAUCCACUGGAUCAGACAGAAACCAGGGAGAGCUCUGGAGUGGAUUGGGAGGAUGGAUGCUGGCAGCAAUUCUGCUAGCUAUGCAAGCUCCUUUCAAAGUCGCUUCAGUAUGACAGAAGAUGUGCCCAGCAGCACUCAGUUCCUCCAGAUCCAGACACUGACAGCAGCAGAUUCUGCUGUUUACUUCUGUGCUCGUAGAGACACAGUGAGUGAGGACAGUGGAGCAGCUGCACAAAAACCUCCACAGAGAAUCAGCAGUGUGAUCUCAAUCAUAUCUGUUUUUUCAUACCAUCAUACUUAGGCAUGGGAGACAUCACUAAAAAAUAUUUCUUAUCAGUCGAUAUUGAUAAUUAUCACAUUAUUUCUUUCAAAUAUAAACAAAAUAAUGAUUGCA